AUACGGAGGGUGCGAGCGUUAAUCGGAAUUACUGGGCGUAAAGCGUACGUAGGCGGUUGGUUAAGUUAGAUGUGAAAGCCCCGGGCUUAACCUGGGAACUGCAUUUAAAACUGGCGAACUAGAGUUGAGUAGAGGGGAGUGGAAUUUCAGGUGUAGCGGUGAAAUGCGUAGAGAUCUGAAGGAACACCAGUGGCGAAGGUGACUCCCUGGACUCGAACUGACGCUGAGGUACGAAAGCGUGGGUAGCAAACGGGAUUAGAAACCCUAGUAGUCC
This 274-nucleotide ribosomal RNA is filed under the name uncultured bacterium. RNAcentral describes it as "partial 16S ribosomal RNA". It matches the Rfam family "Bacterial small subunit ribosomal RNA", at positions 523 to 796 of the family's 1533-position model. The record is from RNAcentral.